AGACUCCCUCUCUGUCUCUCUCACUCACCGUAUCUGCUUCCUUCUCUCAACAAAAUUACAAAACCUAGCCUCCAAUGCCACUUUCUUCUUCAAGCUGUGUCACCGCCACCGCACUACCGCCGCCGUCGCGAUCUGCGCCUCCGCCGUCCGCACUGCACCCAUGGUCGUCGAAACGCGUCUGCUCGCCUCGCUUUCCCGUCAGUUUUGAGCUUCCGCGUCUGUUCUGAGCUUCCGCCGCCUCUGUAUCGCCGUGCUUCCGCCGCGGUACUCCCUCUUCGUCGCUUGGUCGAGCUUGCCUCAAGCCCUUGUUUUUGCUCCAGCCUGCUGUUAUCACCACGCUUCGGCCUCUGUUUUGGCUGAGCUUACGCCAGUGCUCAGCCCUGAUCUGAGCUCCCUCUCCCUCAUCUGAAAUGCUGAAUCUCUGUUGUUCAUGGUUUUUUUUAAAUCGAUUGGACCAGUAAACCAGUGACUAAAACGGUUCGAUGACCAGUCCGGUUCUCAGAACCUUGAUUAUAUACAAAUUGCAUCCAAAUACAUUGAUUUAUGAAUGUACCAGAAAAGUUAUAACGACUUAUCAAUAUGAAAAUGACAGGUUACUUAGCAGGUUUG
Non-coding RNA from Arachis ipaensis, 609 nucleotides. NCBI's taxonomy places the organism in Eukaryota, Viridiplantae, Streptophyta, Magnoliopsida, Fabales, Fabaceae. The record is from RefSeq and is a predicted model, not a curated record.